UAGCCUUGCCGAAGGAUGAGUCUGCGUCUGAUUAGCUAGUUGGUGUGGUAAUGGCGCACCAAGGCGACGAUCAGUAGCCGGCCUGAGAGGGUGACCGGCCACAUUGGGACUGAGACACGGCCCAGACUCCUACGGGGGGCAGCAGCUAAGAAUCUUCCGCAAUGGGCGCAAGCCUGACGGAGCGACGCCGCGUGGGUGAAGAAUGCCGAGAGGUUGUAAAACCCUUUUCUUACAGAAGAAUAAUAAUCGGAGGUAAUGCCGGUUAGAUGACGUUAUGUAAGGAAUAAGCACCGGCCAAUUACGUG
Molecule: ribosomal RNA, 305 nt
Filed under: uncultured bacterium
Lineage: Bacteria
Description: bacterial SSU rRNA
Rfam family: Bacterial small subunit ribosomal RNA
Source: RNAcentral